GUGUAGCAAUACAUGCUGACGAGUGGCGCACGGGUGCGUAACACGUAUGUAACUUACCUCUAACUGGGGAAUAGCUUCGAGAAAUCGAAAUUAAUGUCCCAUAGUAAUUAGAUCAGGCAUCUGGUUUAAUUUAAAGCUCAGGCGGUUAGAGAUAGACAUGCGUCCUAUUAGCUUGUUGGUGAGGUAACGGCUCACCAAGGCUACGAUAGGUAGGGGGCCUGAGAGGGUUUACCCCCACACUGGAACUGAGACACGGUCCAGACUCCUACGGGAGGCAGCAGUGAGGAAUAUUGGUCAAUGGUCGCAAGACUGAACCAGCCAUGCCGCGUGCAGGAUGAAGGCCCUCUGGGUUGUAAACUGCUUUUCUCAGGGAAUAAACCCUUCUACGUGUAGAAGGCUGAAGGUACCUGAGGAAUAAGCACCGGCUAACUCCGUGCCAGCAGCCGCGGUAAUACGGAGGGUGCAAGCGUUAUCCGGAUUUAUUGGGUUUAAAGGGUGCGCAGGCGGGGCUUUAAGUCAGUGGUGAAAUCUCUUCGCUUAACGAAGAAACUGCCAUUGAUACUGAAGUUCUUGAAUCUAGUUGACGUUAGUGGAAUGUGUCAUGUAGCGGUGAAAUGCUUAGAUAUGACACAGAACACCGAUCGCGAAGGCAGCUAACGAAGCUAGUAUUGACGCUCAGGCACGACAGCAUGGGGAGCAAACAGGAUUAGAUACCCUGGUAGUCCAUGCCGUAAACGUUGAUCACUCGACAUUGGCGAUAUACUGUCAGUGUCCAAGCGAA
RNAcentral lists this ribosomal RNA (781 nucleotides) under uncultured bacterium. RNAcentral describes it as "bacterial SSU rRNA". It matches the Rfam family "Bacterial small subunit ribosomal RNA", at positions 74 to 855 of the family's 1533-position model. The record is from RNAcentral.